GAUGAACGCUGGCGGCGUGCCUAAUACAUGCAAGUCGAGCGAACAGACGAGGAGCUUGCUCCUCUGACGUUAGCGGCGGACGGGUGAGUAACACGUGGAUAACCUACCUAUAAGACUGGGAUAACUUCGGGAAACCGGAGCUAAUACCGGAUAAUAUAUUGAACCGCAUGGUUCAAUAGUGAAAGACGGUUUUGCUGUCACUUAUAGAUGGAUCCGCGCCGCAUUAGCUAGUUGGUAAGGUAACGGCUUACCAAGGCAACGAUGGGUAGCCGACCUGAGAGGGUGGUCGGCCACACUGGAACUGAGACACGGUCCAGACUCCUACGGGAGGCAGCAGUAGGGAAUCUUCCGCAAUGGGCGAGAGCCUGACGGAGCAACGCCGCGUGAGUGAUGAAGGUCUUCGGAUCGUAAAACUCUGUUAUUAGGGAAGAACAAAUGUGUAAGUAACUAUGCACGUCUUGACGGUACCUAAUCAGAAAGCCACGGCUAACUACGUG
Molecule: ribosomal RNA, 497 nt
Filed under: uncultured bacterium
Lineage: Bacteria
Description: partial 16S ribosomal RNA
Rfam family: Bacterial small subunit ribosomal RNA
Source: RNAcentral